UUGGAGGUUUUGCCUGCGCUCGGAUGAUCCCCGCGAUAGGUCAGCGCCAUUCGAUAGUUUCCGCCGGGGCGCGCGUCGAACUCGUAGAUCUGGCCGGUCAUGCCCUCCGGCGGAAGCCACUGCGGCCAUGCCUUGGAGUCAACAAACGCACGAUAGAUCACGUCCGCGCUGGCGGCGAUGAAUCGGGUCGCUGAGUCGGUUCUCCCAUGUCCGAUAUUCGCCGUCAUUGAUCGCACGCCUCGCGCUACUCGGAAUCCCGCACCGCCGUUCUCCUGUAUUUGCA
Molecule: unclassified non-coding RNA, 283 nt
Filed under: Hevea brasiliensis (rubber tree)
Lineage: Eukaryota; Viridiplantae; Streptophyta; Magnoliopsida; Malpighiales; Euphorbiaceae
Source: RNAcentral